GUAGGGGGCAAGCGUUGUCCGGAUUUAUUGGGCGUAAAGCGCUCGCAGGUGGUCCGAUGCGUCGUGCGUGAAAGACCCUGGCUCAACUGGGGGGUGUCGUGCGAUACGGUCGGACUGGAGGCCAGUAGGGGGAUGCGGAAUUCCGGGUGUAGUGGUGGAAUGCGUAGAGAUCCGGAGGAACACCAGCGGCGAAGGCGGCAUCCUGGACUGGUCCUGACACUCAUGAGCGAAAGCGUGGGGAGCGAUCCGGAUUAGAUACCCGGGUAGUCCACGCUGUAAACGAUGCGCACUAGGUGUCGGGGGUAUCGACCCCCUCGGUGCCGCAGCUAACGCGAUAAGUGCGCCGCCUGGGGACUACGGCCGCAAGGCUAAA
RNAcentral lists this ribosomal RNA (373 nucleotides) under uncultured bacterium. RNAcentral's name for it is "bacterial SSU rRNA". It matches the Rfam family "Bacterial small subunit ribosomal RNA", at positions 527 to 898 of the family's 1533-position model. The record is from RNAcentral.